Molecule: non-coding RNA, 78 nt
Organism: Schistosoma rodhaini
Lineage: Eukaryota; Metazoa; Platyhelminthes; Trematoda; Strigeidida; Schistosomatidae
Source: Rfam
AGCCUUCUCUAUCCGUGUUGAGAUUUCGUCACACAACAGACCACAAGGGCUGAUAAGACUCCCAAGAUAAGUGAAGCG